AUCAUUCUCCUCAAAGGCGAGGAAGUUGUCAUCAUUGAGAAAGAACCUUUCGUCCGUCAGUGAAGGGCCUGCUCGUGGUGUUAAAUAUAAUUUGAAGUGGAAAACAGCUUCCUUUAAGAAGUCUAGUCGGAGCUCCAGCUCAGAAUCGGAAGAAGCUGAAGUUUUCCAGACUGAAGGAGAGAAACUUUGUUUAAGAGGAAAUCUCAGUGAAACAAAAAUCCA
RNAcentral lists this unclassified non-coding RNA (222 nucleotides) under Hevea brasiliensis (rubber tree). The record is from RNAcentral. Lineage: Eukaryota; Viridiplantae; Streptophyta; Magnoliopsida; Malpighiales; Euphorbiaceae.